AAAUUGAAGAGUUUGAUCAUGGCUCAGAUUGAACGCUGGCGGCAGGCCUAACACAUGCAAGUCGAACGGUAACAGGAAGCAGCUUGCUGCUUUGCUGACGAGUGGCGGACGGGUGAGUAAUGUCUGGGAAACUGCCUGAUGGAGGGGGAUAACUACUGGAAACGGUGGCUAAUACCGCAUAACGUCGCAAGACCAAAGAGGGGGACCUUCGGGCCUCUUGCCAUCAGAUGUGCCCAGAUGGGAUUAGCUUGUUGGUGAGGUAACGGCUCACCAAGGCGACGAUCCCUAGCUGGUCUGAGAGGAUGACCAGCCACACUGGAACUGAGACACGGUCCAGACUCCUACGGGAGGCAGCAGUGGGGAAUAUUGCACAAUGGGCGCAAGCCUGAUGCAGCCAUGCCGCGUGUAUGAAGAAGGCCUUCGGGUUGUAAAGUACUUUCAGCGGGGAGGAAGGUGUUGUGGUUAAUAACCACAGCAAUUGACGUUACCCGCAGAAGAAGCACCGGCUAACUCCGUGCCAGCAGCCGCGGUAAUACGGAGGGUGCAAGCGUUAAUCGGAAUUACUGGGCGUAAAGCGCACGCAGGCGGUCUGUCAAGUC
This 599-nucleotide ribosomal RNA is filed under the name Salmonella enterica subsp. enterica serovar Derby. Its description in RNAcentral is "bacterial SSU rRNA". It matches the Rfam family "Bacterial small subunit ribosomal RNA", at positions 1 to 589 of the family's 1533-position model. Lineage: Bacteria; Pseudomonadati; Pseudomonadota; Gammaproteobacteria; Enterobacterales; Enterobacteriaceae. RNAcentral also lists the same sequence under 4 other names. The record is from RNAcentral.